CCCAUGAAAGUGAGUCUGACAAGCGAGGGAUACCUGGUCGUGCUUGUCAGCGGAUGGGCUUCCUCACAGGGCUGAAUCUCCACACCACGCUGUCCUUUUCACGCUUUCCUCCCCUCAUCUCAUUGCUUGUUCUCUGGCUUCUCUUCCCUGUGAGAGUGGGAGCACUUCCUGGGAGGACAGGGCCCAGUGCAUCCUGUUUAUGUCUGUACCUCCGGGAUCCGGCCUCACACCCGGCACCGAGUGCACACGUGGGACAGUGGAUAAACGAACGGGUGAACUUGUGGCUCUGCUGUUCUAGAAACCAUCUCAGGUAGCUUUGGUGACAACGUGUACUUUUCGGUGCUCGCUGCGAGGAAUAGCUUUGUAGAUGGACCAUAGUGGAUUAGACCUGCCAGCCAUUUUCAGUGGUGACUUUGUCCUGAGACGGAACUGUUGGAAUGAGGAGGGCAGGAUUCAAUUCCAAGAUUCAGAAAAUUCAGUAUCACUGUGGCGUAAACCAGACAGGAGUUUAUUCCUGUCUCACAUAAACCGAGCCCAGGGGGAAGCGAUCCGCGGAAUCCUUAGGGCCCAGCCUUCCCCGACCCUCCACUUGGCCCUCGCUUGGCCCUUGACUCUCUUUCUCCUGGUCCAAGAUGGCAGCACCCGCGUUUCAGGCAGCAGGCAGAAUGAGGGGGAACCGCAGAGAACAAAACAAAAAUGCAGCCACAGGACACUUCUGCUUACAUUCCAUUAUCUAGAACUUCUAUGGCUGCAGAAGAGGCUGGGAUGUAACCUCUAUUCUGGGCGGCCAUGUGCCCGCCCAGGUUGAGAGGCUCCAACGAUGGUUUUGUCAGGCCACCAGCAAUCUUGGCCACAGUUGCGUCUGGGGAGAGGUCGCGUGUCUUCCUUCUCACUCCCUCUUUCACGUGCAGGGUGGGAACCAAGUGGAAGGUCUCAGGCCCCGUGCUCCUGUGCGGGGUCAUCGUUAGCUUUUCCUAGGAGCGGGGCAAGCUGGCCGCAGCGUGCUGUGAUUGGGUUAUCUGUGUUGAAUGGCACGAGGUUGUCCACAAGGCAAAUAUCAAAUUGCAGGGAGUAGGCUGCACUUAAAUGCGCUGGGCCAAAAAAACCUAAGAAACACACAAACAAAAAAGCCACCCUAAACCCAAGGGAAAUCUGUCAGGGCUUAGAGGCAGCGGUGAGCAGGGAGGAAGGCAGUAUGAGUUCAUGGUGGGGCCACGGUUUUGCUGCGUCGUGAUUGAAAGAGCGUUUACUAUAGGGUGGGAAUUUUAAAUCUCUUUUUAAAAGCAUGAGUCUCCGGGGAGUGUGCCGGAGGCGGGAACCGCUCCCCGGAGAGCAGUUUUGUAACUACUUGUAGCUGAGUUUAUUUUGUUUUACUGAAGUAUGCCAGGCUGGACAUUUCCUCCUGUUCUCAUGCUUCUGGACUCAAGAAUGCAGAGAGCACGCUGGCCUCCGGAAAGCAUCAUCAGCAGGAUGUGAACCAGGGACUCCCCCUUCGUGUCCAGAGGGCGAAUCACCUUGCUCCUGAGCCGUCAGCGUGGGUGCGGACUGGGGGCGCCGGGGAGAAGCAGGCGCUACCGGUAAUGGAAGUGUGAUGGGCUGGCGUCUCAGCCAAAGUACACUUGAACGUGAACUGCUGGUGUUUAUUCAAGUCGACUUCCUCACGUCCUAUGUCCCGGGGGCCUGGGCCGUCCCCGUUACUGCCAUUGCUGCUAUGGUGCGGGAUCCAGCGUGCUCAAGGUGUGUGCCUCUGGGCUGGGCUGAUGCCCAGGGCCGGGCUUCCUUUCGGGAGCCGCGUCAGUUUCCCUCUCAGCCGUCACACUCCUCGGCGGGCCAGAGCGACACAGGCAGGAGUGCGUGCAGUGUAAGUCAAUCAACGAAGCGAACAAAAUCCAGAGAAACAGCACCUGCCCUCGACUGAGCGCAUGCUGUGUUCUAGGUCCUGAAUGCCCGAGAUCUCAGCACCUCCUCAAGGCGGGGAUUGUCUUCUCACUUCGGGGGUCAGGAGAACAGGGUCGUACCAGUUGGGUGAUGUGCCUCCGGGUCUGUGUGUGAUGGGGCUUGGGGGUCAGGUGGGAUCCUCAAGCUGGGGAGCAGCCUAGCCCCAUGAAUGCUGCCAAGGGGCAUCUCUGUGGGAAAGAGGAGGCACUCUCCCUCUCGCGCGGGGAGCUCUGUGGGCUGUGGGGCGGAGCGACCUCCCACGUGGCAGCACCUGUUCCCUCCACAAACCGGCCAGCGCCGCCUUCCUGCCCUUGGGAGCAGACACUGCGGUUGACAAAGGUCGUCCGGCUUAUCCAGCCUCUGUUUUCCUGUGAUAUUGAUGUUUAUGCCAAGGUAACACCCGCACCUUAGCUUUGGGGUGGAAGGAACAAUUUCCCUCUGUGGGGUGUAAGAUCUCCUUUCCUGAACUUUCCCCUUAAUGUCCGUACCCGCAGCUGAACCCUUAGCCAUUUUGGUCUGUUGGUUUCCACACGUUUACUGGUUUAUCAAGCUCUGGAGGGAUGGCUUCAUGUAUUUAAAAUCCUCUGCCUGGAUGGGCGCUUGGGUGGCUCAGUCGGUUGAGCGUCUGACUUCGGCUCAGGUCAUGAUCUCGUGGUUCAUGAGUUUGAGCCCCAUAUAGGGCUUUGUGCUGACAGCUCAGAGCCUGGAGUCUGUUUGGGAUUCUGUGUCUCCUGCUCUCUGCCCCUCCCCUACUUGUUCUCCGUCUCUCUCUCUCUCCCCAAAAUAAAUAAACGUUAAAAAAAUAAAAAUAAAAUAAAAUCCUCUGCCUGGUAUAGCAGAGAAUGACAAAUUCUCAAAGACUGAUCGAUAGAUUUAAUAAUAAAAAAAAGCUACUUCCUCACCUCUGUGUCUUCUGCAAAGCCGUGUUUUAAUUCCAUUAAUAAUUUAGUUUUUUUCUCCUACGUCUAGUGGGAGAGAGACCUCAAAGUGUUUAGGCUUUAUUGUUCUGCUGAGCUAUUCAUGGGCCAAUGUAUUUCCUACUGCAUAAACCCAGACUGGACUUCGUGGACGGUGAUUACACUAAACCAACACCACAAGGACCCCACCUUACUCCCAGGUUAUGGUCAAAUAUGUGUGGAUGUUUCUGACAAGCUAUGUGUGAGAUGAGUGGAGGCCCAGGAGUCGGAUCCAACUGUGUUUGUGGCUGGUACAGAGGAAGGUGAGAUGUAUGCAGGAAUUUCACGCUCCUUCACUCUUGAUAGGUGCUGCUAGGAAUCUGGGUUAGAGUCAGAUUUGUGUUGGAUGCUCUGGGUGAACUCCUUAACUAUUUGUUUGUGGUACUGCUAAAUAUUUCCAGAUGUCAGCACCACACAUAUGCCACGAUGCUAUGAUUAAAGCGCUCAGUGCUGAAACUCUCUCUCUCUUUUUUUUUUUUUUUUAAUAAGAAAAAUGCAUAAGGAGAAAUUAAAUCUCCCUUUCUGUCUGGAACCCACCAUACAGAUCCUGCAUUAUUUACCAACCACAAGAGUUUUUCCUUGGCUGGUACAUGCGUCUCUCCUAGUGUUUUUUCCAGCUGCUCAUACAGACUUUGGCAAAGUUACUCACUAGCUCCGAAUACCAGGAUUACCCCAUUCUCGUUUAGCAGUUCAGGGAUUUGGCACCUGGAGGAAGAGCAAAGGCGAUUUCAGAAUCCCACUAAUUCCCCAAAUGGAACUAAGUGAUAGUCCCAGCCUCAUGGGGUUGUGUAAAGGCGGAAGAGGGCAUUGCGUGGAAAGUUAUCGACUACAGUGCCUGGUACCCACCGUGGUCUCAGGCAAGGCCAGUUCUUUUCCUGAGGAGGGUCACGUGAUACCCGACCAACAGAUUUUCGCAUUGGCUGGGGCGGGGACAUUGGAGCCUCUGGUGUGGGCUUGUCUGUAGUGGAGACAUUGAUCGAAAAUCUUGGGAGUGUUAUGCAAGAAAAGAAACAGGCAGAAAGAACAGUAGUUCUGGAGCUGAAAGUUUGAAUCUCAGACUUCUCUCUUCCUCCCUCAGUGACCUUAGGCAAGGCACUCACAGUUGACCCUUGAACAACACAAGGGUUAGGGGCACUGACCCUCUCGCAGUUGAAUAUCUGUGUAUAAUUUUUGACUGCUCCCCAGACUUACUACUGAUAGCCUACUGUUGACCGGAAGUCUUACCGAUGACACAAACAGUCGAUUAGCACAUAUUUUGUAUACGAUAUGUAUUAUAUACUGUAUUCGUUUUUUUAAAAAAUUUUUAUUAUUUACUUUGACAGAGACAGAACGAGCUGGGUAGGGGCAGAGAGAGAGGGAGAGAGAGAGAAUCCCAAGCUGGCUCUGCACCAUUAACGUGGAGCCAGAUGCGGAGCUCGAACCCACGUACUGUAAGAUCAUGACCGGAGCUGAGAUCAAGAGUUGGACACAUAACUGACUGAGCCACCCAGGCACCCCUGCAUACUGUUACAACAAAGUAAGCUAGAGAAAAGAAAAUGCUAUUCAGAAAAUCAUAAGGAAGAGAAAAUACAUUUCUAGUUUGGCAGUAUAGGAAAUCCACGCGUAAGUGGACCCCACAUUUCAAACCCUUGUUGUUCAGGGUCAACUGCAGGUUUACUGAGCUUCAGUGUCUUCAUUUGAGAUGGGAACAAUGCCCUUCUCAGAGCGCUGUGGGGAAAACAAAUAAGAAGUCUGGCUAAUGGGAAAUUAUGGAACAACAAAUAUGACCUCUCUUAUUUCUUGCAGCAAAGUUGUCACAAGAGCGUCACAUUCUCAAAUGUCUUCUUUGGUGUUACACAGGGGUUUUACCGUGGGUGCUGAUGAUUUAUUCAUUCAUUCAUCCAACAAAUAUUUACUGAGUCCCUGCUAUGUUCUACAUGCUGGGGAUCCCGCAGGCAACAAACAAAAGCUCUUGCCUUUAUUCAUGGCAUAUUCUAGCGACAGGAGACAGACUGCACACAUAUGGUAAGCACAAGCUACCUGUACAGGUGAUUAAUGACAGAUUCAUUGGGGAGAUUCCAAACCUGACUUAACCAAACUUAGGGAUCCGGUGACAUGGGAAAUCCACAGUCUCUAUGCCUACUGAGGCUUUUCCUGGUUAGGAUGACUUUGUUGUGCCCGCCCUUGGGGAUCCUCUAGUCCUGGAUGUCUUGUUUGGUCCUUGUCUGCACAGGCUCGGCAGCUCUGUGGGUCCCCACCCUUAGCUUGCUUCCUUUCCAGGUGACGGAUAUCCCUGGAGCUUUAAAGGAACACCCAGCUUCGCUUGAGAAAUAACCCAGGAGACCGAAUAGUGCUUCUGGCUGUACAGAGGACAUUCCAAAGAGUUCGAUUCUUUAUCGCAGACCGAGGCAUCUCCUUCAUGUUUCACUCAGUCAUCCCUCAAACUUGUCAGAUGCUCUCACACUGUGGUGUUUUUGUUAAUGAGGUUCCUGCAGGCUGGCACCUCUUAAAUCCCCGCCCACUAAAUCCUAUCCAUUCAUCCUGGUUCGGCCCAGAUGAUCCCUCUGUGGCAGAGAAUGUGAGCUACUCUGCAAGAUCCAUUCUCUUCUGAUUCUGGUGGUCAUAGACACCCUGAGCUUGAGCUGGACUCAUGGCAAAAAGUGAAACAUUCCGAGCCAUCCCUAAAGCGAAGUGCAGCUGUGUGACUCAGAACUGGCUCCUUCCGCCCUUCUUGCUGGCAGGAACGUGAACUUGGUGUCAGGACUUGGUAUCUUGGCAGAGCAACAAGUUGGAAGGGGCCUGGGUUCUCAACAUGGUGCAACUGUCCCAUCAGUCCUGGAUAAUUGGCGUCCAAGCGAUAAUCUGAGGGAAAACGAAAGCUUCCUCCCUCCCUCCCUUCCUCCCUCUCUCUCACUGUCUUUCUCAAGCUAUUGUUAUUUUGGUUUUCAUUAGAGAAUCCAAAAACUGAUAUCCUAAAAACUCCUCCUGUGCUGUGAAGUUCCCCCAACCUGCCUCUACCUAUAUAUCCCCAAAGUGUGCAAUUUUACCUCAGUUAGUGUUGUCCUAUGGCCAUUUGGGAACCCAGCAAUUUGUAUGAACUUCUAGUCCUUGACGACACAAGCCCUCGUAGAGCAGGAACCUGUCUUAUUAAAUGUGUACCCCCCCCAAUAACGAGCACAAUGCUUUGCUUUUAUUCUUCAUGUAUUUAAUGAAUGUCUGCUCCUUGAAUUUUUUGGUGAAUGAAGAAUGAUUCCCUGCCUCUCCUGGACUAAACUCUCUCUUUCUAAAGCAUCUUUGCCCGGUACAAAUACAAGGCAAGCCACAUAUGUAAUUUUGAAUUUUUUAGUUGCCACAUUUAAAAAAAAACGCAAAAGGAAACUGGUGAAAUUAAUUUUAGGUGUUUGUUUCAUUGAGCCCUACAUACUCAAAUGUUGUCAUUUUUGUAAGUAAUCGAUACAAAAAUUAUUACUGAGAAUGUUUUACAUUCUUUUUCUCAUACUAAGUCUUUGGAAUCUGGUAUGUGUAUUUUACACUUUUAGCUCAUCUCAAUUCAAACCAGCCACCGUUCAAGUGCUUAGUGGCCACCAGUGGUGAGUGGCUAUUGUACCAGGCAGCAUAGCUCUAGGGGAUCCCGAGCCAGCCCUGAAAGGGUGGGGAGGAUUUGGAUGGGCUGGAAGGGCAUGGAGGAAAUGCCGUGAGGCAGAAACAAGGAGUCUUUUUCUAGACGUUUCAUGGAACUUACUUGGCAUGGGGCUCUGCAAUAUAUGGGGUACUCCAGUGACUCUUAGGAACUGUUGAGUGACUUUAAUGUAGAAAGAUUCAUGUGGGAAGAGACAGAACCACUGACAAAACUAAAGAAGAAAUGGAAUCAGGAGAGAAGGGUGUCUGAGCGGAGCUCUGGGGGUCAUUGAAGCCAAACUCAGGGCAUAUCUAACGAUAUAAUGAAUAGGGACACAGCCUUGGCUGAGAGACAUGGUGUGGGGCUGGGUUUUUCACCGUUGCUGCCUAAGUGACCCUAGAUGAGCCAUUUCAACUCUCUGAGCCUCAGUUUCCUCAGGAAGCCCAUCUGGAAGCAGCACUCUGGUGGGAAGAGAGCAGUCUCUUCAAAGGAGCCAAAUUCCCAAUGGCAUGAUAAGGAGAAGCUCACUGGACCAGCUCUGACAACUCUAGGGUCACUGGACAAGGCAGACUCCACGGAUGCCCCAAAGGAAGGAGUUUUUCCUUGGGCUAUUGAAGCAACGGGUGGUUUCCAUCCAAGGAAGGACUGACUUUGCAAAAAGUGGAAACGCAGAGGUUGAACAAGGGAGGGGGCAGCCACCACAGAGUGGGGUGGGCACAGGCAGUUGUGGUACAUGGAAGGCAGGAGAGAGACAAUGCCUUUCUCUUUUCUCAUGGAAGUCCCUUCAUGGAGCUCUGGGGUCUACCAGGGAUUCUGAGUAGAUGGGGCACUAAAUGCCUCUGCAACCCAGACUGGGCUAUACAAGGGAGAAAUGGGGAAUCAUGACUGUCCUAUGGAUCAUUUGAGGGGGAAUCAGGAAAAGUCCCCAAGAACCCCUUUAAAGUCUCAGCUUUCCAGUAUCUCAGACCCAAGUGCUAUUUUGGCCGAAAUGUAUCCAGGUAAUGGCUACAGUUUUCUACAUAACUUUCCAUACUGUUCAUAAAGGACUUAGACCAUUCCCACCAAGGGCAUUGUGGGAGAAGGCUGUGUGUGCUAAGGGCUGAUUUGGAGUUGCUUUCAGGAGGGGAAACAGGUCCAGUGUCCCAAAGCUCAAGGUUCCAAUCACCGGAACAUAUGGAUGUCCAGGGAACAAUGGGACUUGCGGUCAAGGUGGUGGUCCGGGAAAUUUGAGUGUUGGAUCCACCAGAGAAUCUUAGAAACUUAUGACUUCGUACUUGGGAAGCUGCCAGUGUUUCUGGAAAUGGCUGUGCUUUGGGGUGAGAGCAGCUGAGGAAAUAAAAGCGUUAGGUCCAGGACCAACAGUCUGACACAAAAUCACCGAGCCAAUGCCGUGAGUAAGGGGUUGGCCAACCCCAAGGCCAAGUGUAUCUUUGAUGGAAAACGAAUUCUCAAGGAGGAAGCCUAUAAUUGGAUGAAGUCCUUGUCUCCCUAGCUUGUGGAAACAGCCAGACUUUCCCCCCUUGUUUUCCACAUGGAAUGUGAGUUCUCUAAGAUCUGGCCUGGGCCACAUGGGCUUCAACAUUUCCUCAUGGUGAUGCCUUCCUCGGACAGCCCCAUCUCGGGUGGAGGGGAAAAUGUUUCUGCUGUGGCGUCUGGGGAAGCACUUGUUACAAUCAAGGUGCUCAACCAAGGUUUGUGAGAAGGAUGCAUUCAUGAUGUUCGCCUCUGAACCAUUAAGGUUAAGUGACACUUGGCACCUCCUAUGUGUUCUUUCUGACUUCGUUCCUCACGCCUGGUGGCCCAGGGGGAGCUGGGAGCCUGCCUUUCAUGCCAGAGUCUUAGUAAUGCUUUGCUCCUCUUAUCUUCCAAUAAACCUGAUGAACACGUUCAUUCUAGAACGUUAGAGAUUUAACGUUUCACAGGCACACUGAGUGGCCCGCACUGACAGUUGAGAGCUAAACCAGCCGGGUACGGAUCAGGAUUGAGGCCACGGCCAAUUCACUUCACCUGUCCGAGCUUUCACUCUCUUAUCUGAAAAACAGGGAUGCUGAUCAUUUUUAUAGCUACUUCCCAGCGUCCGCAGAGUUCAACGAGAUGAAGAAAAUGCUCUUGGCGGUAGGCACACAGCAGCCACACCAGUGAUGGAUUCGCCGGGCAAGAGUCGGAAACGUACAGGCAUAGUUUUCUCUUUUGCCUUUCAAGUACAUAACCUUUAUGUCAAUUGGCUGGCACUGGAGAAGAGGCAGCAUAGGGGAGAUUGGGAUUCGUCACGGGAAAACCCUCCACCAUCCAUUUUAGUGACGUCGCUUCAAAACAGGGAGCUGACUGGACAGCUUUCAUAAAUACAGGGGUAGAGCUUUGAUUUUAAGCUGCGACGAGAACGAACACCAACGACACAGCCAAGCGCAGCGGGGAACUGGAGGGGAGCAGUGGUAGGGCCAUCUUCCGCUGGUUGCAAGCAAGACGGGGUGCAUUAUCUGAAGGGACUUUAAGACUGAGAAUAAAAUAAAGCCAAAAGUGAGUCUACUUUUUAUGGUCGCCAUAUAGGAGCAAUUGUAUUUUAUUUUGAAAGUUUAUUUAUUUUGAGAAAGAGAGAGAGAGUGUGAGAGAGCACAAGUCGGGGAGGGGAGAGAGAGAGAGAGGGAAAAAGAGAGAGAGAGAAUCCCAAGCAGGCUCCGCGCUGUUAGCACAGAGCCCAACACAGGGCUUGAUCUCACGAACUGUGAGAUCAUGACCUGAGCCGAAAUCAAGAGUCAGACACAUAACUGACUGGGCCACCCAGGCACCGUGUGGGCAAUUUUAAACAGUAUCUGAUAAAAUAUCCCUCCCCGCAAAAAUAGUGUUGUUAUUCUAAGUUCUCAACAGUUGUCACAAUGGCUGUUGAGUUUUAAUAAAAUAUAUAUAGACUUUUUGGCAUAUUUUUAUUACCUAUCCUUUCCUAAACGUUGUAUUCUCUGUGAAAGGUCACUUGGGGAACUCCCAGUAGGCAGUUGGGCCCCCCGCCCACUGAACACAUGCUUACCCAGCCACACGGUUUAUUUCGGGAGUACAUUCAUCAUAAUGGUCUGGAAGUAUCCAAGCUCACUUAGGGUGCUGUCCCUGUCUCCAACAGCCCCCCACCGAGGUGUGACAUAUUCCUCUUUUUAAAAAUAGUAUAUCAAUUUAGCGGAAUAUGAUCAACAAGAAUAAGGCAGAUCUAUAUAUAACGAUAUAAAAAUAACCUCCAAUAUGCAGCGUUCAGCGAAAUAAGCACUAUACAGAACACUGAAAAAUAUUUGAAAAAGUGACAUGUAUGUACGUAUGUAUGUUUUAUACAUGAAUAGAAUCUCCCAAAGGACAAAUAAGAAAUGCUAGAUUCAGAAAGAACGGUAGGGGCCGCUGGGUGGCUCGAUCGGUUAAGCUCCUGACUCUUGAUCUUAGCUCAGGUCUUGAUCGCAGUGUCCUGAGUUCAAGCCCCACGUUGGGCUCCAUGCUGGGCAUGGAAUCUACUCCCAGUGUGGAGCGUACUUAAAACAAAACAAAACAACAACAACAACAACAACAAAACAAGAUGAAUGGUAGUACAGUGAUCUUAAAGACAAAGACACGUACUUGAGCUGCCUCAAUUCUGUCAUCCGCGUGACUGCUUGGUGAUUUCGUGUAUGUUAAGAAUUUAGCCCAGCCGAGGCUGAGGGUGAAGGGGAAGGUGUAACAUUUUUAGUUGGUAGUGUAAAUAUCAGUUCAUACAUGAAAUGUUUCGCAGAGCCCAAGCGCUGUUUUUCACACUGGCAUUCAUUUCUCUUUCUCAAUUCUUAAUGGUUCAUUUUAAAGCUAACGAACUCAUCAAGGGGUAAUGGCUAUUACCGAUUAUUAUGUGAUUCUUAGAUGAAUAACUUGGCCGCAUAGAGAGGGGAGUUUUAAAAACUGAUUUGCUCUGGGUG
Panthera uncia (snow leopard) is the source of this 10412-nucleotide long non-coding RNA. RefSeq lists it as uncharacterized. The transcript is spliced from 3 exons. The record is from RefSeq and is a predicted model, not a curated record. Lineage: Eukaryota; Metazoa; Chordata; Mammalia; Carnivora; Felidae.